RNAcentral lists this ribosomal RNA (215 nucleotides) under Glomeromycotina sp. RNAcentral describes it as "partial small subunit ribosomal RNA". The stretch from base 39 to 215 matches the Rfam family "Eukaryotic small subunit ribosomal RNA", at positions 686 to 864 of the family's 1831-position model. The record is from RNAcentral. Lineage: Eukaryota; Fungi; Glomeromycota.
GGUCAGUAGGUUGGUCGUGCCACCGGUACGUACUGGUCUCACUGAUUCCUCCUUCCUGAAGAACCGUAAUGCCAUUAAUAUGGUGUUGCGGGGAAACAGGACUGUUACUUUGAAAAAAUUAGAGUGUUUAAAGCAAGCUAACGCUUGAAUACAUUAGCAUGGAAUAAUGAAAUAGGACGAUCGAUCCUAUUUUGUUGGUUUCUAGGAUUGACGUA